This 206-nucleotide long non-coding RNA is filed under the name Elaeis guineensis (African oil palm). RNAcentral describes it as "long non-coding RNA (EGUI_LNC001707)". The record is from RNAcentral. Lineage: Eukaryota; Viridiplantae; Streptophyta; Magnoliopsida; Arecales; Arecaceae.
CGGUGGACAAAGAAUUUUUUCGUGGAUAGAAUAUUGUGUUCACUACUGCUCUUAGAUAUGAAGUACUUGAUGUUAAAGUUUUGAAGAAAAAAUUUAAAAUUUUUCUUUCCUUCAAAGAUCCUUAAAAAUUUUGUUUUGAGUUUAGUCUUACAUUGGAAAGGGACAAAAUUUUCGAUGCAUUUAUAAACCAUCUUUUCUUAGCCAUC